GUUGUAUUGAACUUUGUUCUCUCUUAAGGGGUGGAGGCAGGGUGGGGGGGUGCGGGGGGAGGGGGAGGUCUCCCGAUAGUUAAGACUUACUUCGAACCUUACAGUGCCAGGCCUUCACAGAUGUUAAAUUUUCAUUUGACUUUCAUUUUAAAAUAAGAGAAUUAAGAUUGUAGGUAAAUUGAAAGAAGAAGUGGAGAGUUAUCCGGACUGAGCGCAGGAACCGGAAGUAGAAUCUCAAACGACAGAAGAGAAGGAAAUGUGAACGUCGAUGCGGGGGAGACGAGAUUGCUCUGAAAAAGACUGCAGGGUGAGAGGGGGAAGAAAGAGUCCCUAUCAUGGAGGCUGCAGUCAGCCAGUGUGGAGCAUUUUCCUCAGCAGGAAAUCAUGUCACCUCUCAGGGAGUGCUUCCAGGAGAAAGACUUGUCAGGUAAAAGAAGCAAAUGCUAAGCCGUUAUUGAGAUUUGCUCUGCAAACAAAUUAUGGAGCAGAGGUGCCAAACUGUUAAAUGCUCAGGAGAUAAUAUUGCGGCCGAGAACACAGGUUUCAUGUUGACGUGGGUCAGUCCUGACCUCUGUAGGUCUGUUUCCUUAUCUAGAAAGGAUGAGUAUAACUCUCUAUAUCUCAUGAAGAUGUUGUG
RNAcentral lists this long non-coding RNA (637 nucleotides) under Rattus norvegicus (Norway rat). RNAcentral describes it as "long non-coding RNA NONRATT032726". Lineage: Eukaryota; Metazoa; Chordata; Mammalia; Rodentia; Muridae. The record is from RNAcentral.